GAUGAAGAACGUAGCGAAAUGCGAUAAGUAAUGUGAAUUGCAGAAUUCAGUGAAUCAUCGAAUCUUUGAACGCAUCUUGCGCUCCUUGGUAUUCCAUGGAGCAUGCCUGUUUGAGUGUCACGUAAACCCUCACACCAGUGAUGUCAAAGUCUCUGGAAGUGGAUUUGGACUGUGCCGUAGUUGGCUCGUCCUGAAAUACAUUAGCCUGCGUUUUUUAGCGUGCUCGGCAUGGUGUGAUAAUUAUCUGCGCCGUCGCCUUAGGCCGCUUCUAUAUGCGCUGCUUAUAAUCAUCCCUUGUGGACAGACACUAUAAAGCUCUGGCCUCAAAUCAGGUAGGAUUACCCGCUGAACUUAAGCAUAUCAAUAAGCGGAGGA
This 375-nucleotide unclassified non-coding RNA is filed under the name soil metagenome. RNAcentral's name for it is "partial contains 5.8S ribosomal RNA, internal transcribed spacer 2, and large subunit ribosomal RNA". The stretch from base 1 to 120 matches the Rfam family "5.8S ribosomal RNA", at positions 35 to 154 of the family's 154-position model. The record is from RNAcentral.